Molecule: long non-coding RNA, 11972 nt
Organism: Cyprinus carpio carpio
Lineage: Eukaryota; Metazoa; Chordata; Actinopteri; Cypriniformes; Cyprinidae
Source: Ensembl
GGGCAUUUCAAAACCACAUGCACUCCCAAUCAGUGUGGAUUACUCAAGGCGUGAACAUCCUUUUUUUUUACGCAAAAGUAAAAAGCCCACACCUAAUGACAUUUAUUAUCUGCAAGAAACACGCCCACACCUUCUUCAUCAGGUUGAUGUUGAAAUGUAAACGAGGAGAAACACUGAUGGCCGGUUCAUUUGGCUGACUAUUUUCAUACAAAUUAUACUGGAAAAAGAAAACAUUGAAAGAUAUAUUUAUAAAUAUUUAAUCCUUUUAAACACUCUCAUCUUACAGAAACAAUCUCAACAUGUAUUUCUGGAAAAAUACUUACUUUAUUACCUCAGUCCUGUUGGUAUUUUUUGCAUUCAUGAGACUUGGAGCAAACUCGGAAACAGAACCUACAAUGACAGCUCCAUCAACAUUUGCAACAGAUAUGUCCGCUAUAACCAAUACCACGUUUGAAUCAUAUACAAGUGAAAGAACUUCAACACUAGAAACUACAUCUUCCUCGAUAGGUACCAAUCCAUCUUCACCAUCUAUGACGGCAGAAGGACAAAGUACAUCAGAAUUGAUUUCACCAACAACAGAAAUAUCUUCAUCCACUUUAGAGCAAACCACAAGCCAGCAGACACAAACAACUCUGUUUACUUCUACCAUAGAAACAGAACCUACAACGACAGAUCAAUUAUCAUUUCCAACAGCUAUGUCACCUACGAGUAUGUCUACAUUCGAAUCAUCUACAAGUGGAAAAAGUUCAACACUGGAUACUACAUCUUCCUUGAUAGGCACCACUCCAUCUUCAACAUCGACGAUAGCAGAAGUACAAAGUACAUCAGAAUUGAUUUCACCAACAACAGAAAUAUCUUCAUCCACUUUAGAGCAAACCACAAGCCAGCAGACAGAAACCACGCUGUUUACUUCUACCAUAGAAACAGAACUUACAAUGACACCUCAAUCAACAUUUACAACAGAUAUCUCCACUAUGACCAGUACCACAAUUGAAUCAUCUACAAGACAAAGUGGAUCAACAGUGGAAACUAUGAUAUCCACAACAAUUAACUCUCUAUCUUCAUUGUCUACUACCACAGAAGGACAAAGUACAUCAGAAUUGAUUUCAUCAACAACAGAAAUAUCUUCAUCCACUGUAGAGCAAACCACAAGUCUGCAGGCCCAAACAACUGUGUUUAGUUCGACCACAGAAACAGAACCUACAACGACAGCUCAAUCAACAUUUACAACAGAUGCAACAGACGGACAAAGUACAUCAGAAUUGAUUUCAUCAACAACAGAAAUGUCUACUUCUAGUGAAGAGCAAACAACAAGCCAGGGGACACAGACCUCUAUGUUUACUUCUACCACAGAAACAGAACCCACAACAAGAGCUCAAUCGACAUUUACAACAGAUAUGUCCCCUACAAGUAUGUCCACAUUAGAAUCAGGUACAAGUGAAAGUGGACCAACGGUGCAAAUUACUCUGUCCACAACAGUUACCUCUCCAUCUUCACCGCCUACUUCAAAAGAAGGACAAAGUACAUCAGAAUUAACUUCAUCAGCAACCGAAAUAUCUUCAUCCACUGUAGAGCAAACAACAAGCCAGCAGGCUCAAACAACUGUGUUUAGUUCGACCACAGAAACAGAACCUAUAACGACAGCUAAAUCAACAUUUACAGCAGCUAUGUCCCCUAUGACCACGACCACGUUUGAAUCAUUUCCAAGUGAAAGAAGUUCAACACUGGAAACUACAUCAUCCUCAACAGGAACGUCUCCAUCUUCACCUUCUACUGCAACAGAUGGACAAAGUACAUCAGAAUUGAUUUCAUCAACAACAGAAAUGUCUACUUCUAGUGAAGAGCAAACAACAAGCCAGGGGACACAAACCUCUAUGUUUACUUCUACCACAGAAACAGAACCCACAACAAGAUCUCAAUCGACAUUUACAACAGAUAUGUCCCCUACAAGUAUGUCCACAUUAGAAUCAUCUACAAGUGAAAGUGGAUCAACGGUGCAAACUACUCUGUACUCAACAGGUACUUCUACAUCUUCACCAUCUACUUCAACGGAAGGACAAAGUACAUCAGAAUUAACUUCAUCCGCAACAGAAAUAUCAUCAUCCACUGUAGAGCAAACAACAAGCCAGCAGGCUCAAACAACUGUGUUUAGUUCGACCACAGAAACAGAACCUACAACGACAGCUCAAUCAACAUUUACAACAGUUAUGUCCCCUAUGACCACGACCACAUUUGAAUCAUUUACAAGUGAAAGAAGUUCAACACUGGAAACUACAUCAUCCUCAACAGGAACGUCUCCAUCUCCACCUUCUACUGCAACAGAUGGACAAAGUACAUCAGAAUUGAUUUCAUCAACAACAGAAAUGUCUACUUCUAGUAAAGAGCAAACAACAAGCCAGGGGACACAAACCUCUAUGUUUACUUCUACCACAGAAACAGAACCCACAACAAGAGCUCAAUCGACAUUUACAACAGAUAUGUCCCCUACAAGUAUGUCCACAUUAGAAUCAUCUACAAGUGAAAGUGGAUCAACGGUGCAAACUACUCUGUACUCAACAGGUACUUCUACAUCUUCACCAUCUACUUCAACGGAAGGACAAAGUACAUCAGAAUUAACUUCAUCCGCAACAGAAAUAUCAUCAUCCACUGUAGAGCAAACAACAAGCCAGCAGGCUCAAACAACUGUGUUUAGUUCGACCACAGAAACAGAACCUACAACGACAGCUCAAUCAACAUUUACAACAGUUAUGUCCCCUAUGACCACGACCACAUUUGAAUCAUUUACAAGUGAAAGAAGUUCAACACUGGAAACUACAUCAUCCUCAACAGGAACGUCUCCAUCUCCACCUUCUACUGCAACAGAUGGACAAAGUACAUCAGAAUUGAUUUCAUCAACAACAGAAAUGUCUACUUCUAGUAAAGAGCAAACAACAAGCCAGGGGACACAAACCUCUAUGUUUACUUCUACCACAGAAACAGAACCCACAACAAGAGCUCAAUCGACAUUUACAACAGAUAUGUCCCCUACAAGUAUGUCCACAUUAGAAUCAUCUACAAGUGAAAGUGGAUCAACGGUGCAAACUACUCUGUACACAACAGGUACUUCUACAUCUUCACCAUCUACUUCAACGGAAGGACAAAGUACAUCAGAAUUAACUUCAUCCGCAACAGAAAUAUCAUCAUCCACUGUAGAGCAAACAACAAGCCAGCAUGCUCAAACAACUGUGUUUAGUUCUACCACAGAAACAGAACCUACAACGACAGCUCAAUCAACAUUUACAACAGCUAUGUCCCCUAUGACCACGACCACUAUUGAAUCAUCUACAAGUGAAAGAACUUCAACACUGGAAACUACAUCAUCCUCAACAGGAACGUCUCCAUCUUCACCUUCUACUGCAACAGAUGGACAAAGUACAUCAGAAUUGAUUUCAUCAACAACAGAAAUGUCUACUUCUAGUGAAGAGCAAACAGCAAGCCAGGGGACACAAACCUCUAUGUUUACUUCUACCAGAGAAACAGAACCUACAAAGACAGCUCAAUCAACAUUUGCAUCAGCUGUUUCUCCUACGAGUAUGUCCACAUUAGAAUCAGGUACAAGUGAAAGUGGAUCAACAUUGCAAACUACUCUGUACACAACAGGUACUUCUAUAUCUUCACCAUCUACUUCAACGGAAGGACAAAGUACAUCAGAAUUAACUUCAUCAGCAACCAAAAUAUCUUCAUCCACUGUAGAGCAAACAACAAGCCAGCAGGCUCAAACAACUGUGUUUAGUUCGACCACAGAAACAGAACCUACAACGACAGCUCAAUCAACAUUUACAACAUCUAUGUCCCCUAUGAUCACGACAACGUUUGAAUCAUUUACAAGUGAAAGAAGUUCAACACUGGAAACUACAUCAUCCUCAACAGGAACGUCUCCAUCUUCACAGUCUACUGCAACAGACGGACAAAGUACAUCAGAACUGAUUUCAUCAACAACAGAAAUGUCUACUUCUAGUGAAGAGCAAACAACAAGCCAGGGGACACAAACCUCUAUGUUUACUUCUACCACAGAAACAGAACCCACAACAAGAGCUCAAUCGACAUUUACAACAGAUAUGUCCCCUACAAGUAUGUCCACAUUAGAAUCAUCUACAAGUGAAAGUGGAUCAACAGUGCAAACUACUCUGUACACAACAGGUACUUCUACAUCUUCACCAUCUACUUCAACGGAAGGACAAAGUACAUCAGAAUUAACUUCAUCGGCAACAGAAAUAUAUUCAUCGACUGUAGAGCAAACAACAAGCCAGCAGGCUCAAACAACUGUGUUUAGUUCUACCACAGAAACAGAACCUAUAAUGACAGCUCAAUCAACAUUUACAACAGCUAUGUCCCCUUUGACCACAACCACUAUUGAAUCAUCUACAAAUGAAAGAAGUUCAACACUGGAAACUACAUCAUCCUCAAGAGGAAUGUCUCCAUCUUCACCUUCUGCUGCAACAGACGGACAAAGUACAUCAGAAUUGAUUUCAUCAACAACAGAAAUGUCUACUUCUAGUGAAGAGCAAACAGCAAGCCAGGGGACACAAACCUCUAUGUUUACUUCUACCACAGAAACAGAACCCACAACAAGAGCUCAAUCGACAUUUACAACAGAUAUGUCCCCUACAAGUAUGUCCACAUUAGAAUCAGGUACAAGUGAAAGUGGACCAACGGUGCAAACUACUCUGUACGCAACAGGUACUUCUACAUCUUCACCAUCUACUUCAACGGAAGGACAAAGUACAUCAGAAUUAACUUCAUCCGCAACAGAAAUAUCAUCAUCCACUGUAGAGCAAACAACAAGCCAGCAGGCUCAAACAACUGUGUUUAGUUCGACCACAGAAACAGAACCUACAACGACAGCUCAAUCAACAUUUACAACAGCUAUGUCCCCUAUGACCACGACCACAUUUGAAUCAUUUACAAGUGAAAGAAGUUCAACACUGGAAACUACAUCAUCCUCAACAGGAACAUCUCCAUCUUCACAGUCUACUGCAACAGACGGACAAAGUACAUCAGAAUUGAUUUCAUCAACAACAGAAAUGCCUACUUCUAGUGCAGAGACAACAGCAAGCCAGGGGACACAAACCUCUAUGUUUACUUCUACCACAGAAACAGAACCCUCAACAAGAGCUCAAUCGACAUUUACAACAGAUAUGUCCCCUACAAGUAUGUCCACAUUAGAAUCAUCUACAAGUGAAAGUGGAUCAACGUUGCAAACUACUCUGUACACAACAGGUACUUCUACAUCUUCACCAUCUACUUCAACGGAAGGACAAAGUACAUCAGAAUUAACUUCAUCGGCAACAGAAAUAUAUUCAUCGACUGUAGAGCAAACAACAAGCCAGCAGGCUCAAACAACUGUGUUUAGUUCUACCACAGAAACAGAACCUAUAAUGACAGCUCAAUCAACAUUUACAACAGCUAUGUCCCCUUUGACCACAACCACUAUUGAAUCAUCUACAAGUGAAAGAAGUUCAACACUGGAAACUACAUCAUCCUCAAGAGGAAUGUCUCCAUCUUCACCUUCUGCUGCAACAGACGGACAAAGUACAUCAGAAUUGAUUUCAUCAACAACAGAAAUGUCUACUUCUAGUGAAGAGCAAACAGCAAGCCAGGGGACACAAACCUCUAUGUUUACUUCUACCACAGAAACAGAACCAACAACAAGAGCUCAAUCGACAUUUACAACAGAUAUGUCCCCUACAAGUAUGUCCACAUUAGAAUCAGGUACAAGUGAAAGUGGACCAACGGUGCAAAUUACUCUGUCCACAACAGUUACCUCUCCAUCUUCACCGUCUACUUCAACAGAAGAACAAAGUACAUCAGAAUUAACUUCAUCAGCAACCGAAAUAUCUUCAUCCACUGUAGAGCAAACAACAAGCCAGCAGGCUCAAACAACUGUGUUUAGUUUUACCACAGAAACAGAACCUAUAAUGACAGCUCAAUCAACAUUUACAACAGCUAUGUCCCCUAUGACCACGACCACUAUUGAAUCAUCUACAAGUGAAAGAAGUUCAACACUGGAAACUACAUCAUCCUCAACAGGAACAUCUCCAUCUUCACCUUCUACUGCAACAGAUGGACAAAGUACAUCAGAACUGAUUUCAUCAACAACAGAAAUGUCUACUUCUAGUGAAGAGCAAACAACAAGCCAGGGGACACAAACCUCUAUGUUUACUUCUACCACAGAAACAGAACCCACAACAAGAGCUCAAUCGACAUUUACAACAGAUAUGUCCCCUACAAGUAUGUCCACAUUAGAAUCAUCUACAAGUGAAAGUGGAUCAACAGUGCAAACUACUCUGUACACAACAGGUACUUCUACAUCUUCACCAUCUACUUCAACGGAAGGACAAAGUACAUCAGAAUUAACUUCAUCGGCAACAGAAAUAUAUUCAUCGACUGUAGAGCAAACAACAAGCCAGCAGGCUCAAACAACUGUGUUUAGUUCUACCACAGAAACAGAACCUAUAAUGACAGCUCAAUCAACAUUUACAACAGCUAUGUCCCCUUUGACCACAACCACUAUUGAAUCAUCUACAAGUGAAAGAAGUUCAACACUGGAAACUACAUCAUCCUCAAGAGGAAUGUCUCCAUCUUCACCUUCUGCUGCAACAGACGGACAAAGUACAUCAGAAUUGAUUUCAUCAACAACAGAAAUGUCUACUUCUAGUGAAGAGCAAACAGCAAGCCAGGGGACACAAACCUCUAUGUUUACUUCUACCACAGAAACAGAACCCACAACAAGAGCUCAAUCGACAUUUACAACAGAUAUGUCCCCUACAAGUAUGUCCACAUUAGAAUCAGGUACAAGUGAAAGUGGACCAACGGUGCAAAUUACUCUGUCCACAACAGUUCCCUCUCCAUCUUCACCAUCUACUUCAACAGAAGGACAAAGUACAUCAGAAUUAACUUCAUCAGCAACCGAAAUAUCUUCAUCCACUGUAGAGCAAACAACAAGCCAGGGGACACAAACCUCUAUGUUUACUUCUACCACAGAAACAGAACCCACAACAAGAGCUCAAUCGACAUUUACAACAGAUAUGUCGCCUACAAGUAUGUCCACAUUAGAAUCAGGUACAAGUGAAAGUGGACCAACGGUGCAAAUUACUCUGUCCACAACAGUUACCUCUCCAUCUUCACCGUCUACUUCAACAGAAGAACAAAGUACAUCAGAAUUAACUUCAUCAGCAACCGAAAUAUCUUCAUCCACUGUAGAGCAAACAACAAGCCAGCAGGCUCAAACAACUGUGUUUAGUUUUACCACAGAAACAGAACCUAUAAUGACAGCUCAAUCAACAUUUACAACAGCUAUGUCCCCUAUGACCACGACCACUAUUGAAUCAUCUACAAGUGAAAGAAGUUCAACACUGGAAACUACAUCAUCCUCAACAGGAACAUCUCCAUCUUCACCUUCUACUGCAACAGAUGGACAAAGUACAUCAGAAUUGAUUUCAUCAACAACAGAAAUGUCUACUUCUAGUGAAGAGCAAACAGCAAGCCAGGGGACAAAAACCUCUAUGUUUACUUCUACCACAGAAACAGAACCCACAACAAGAGCUCAAUCGACAUUUACAACAGAUAUGUCCCCUACAAGUAUGUCCACAUUAGAAUCAUCUACAAGUGAAAGUGGAUCAACAGUGCAAACUACUCUGUACACAACAGGUACUUCUACAUCUUCACCAUCUACUUCAACGGAAGGACAAAGUACAUCAGAAUUAACUUCAUCGGCAACAGAAAUAUCUUCAUCCACUGUAGAGCAAACAACAAGCCAGCAGGCUCAAACAACUGUGUUUAGUUCUACCACAGAAACAGAACCUAUAAUGACAGCUCAAUCAACAUUUACAACAGCUAUGUCCCCUAUGACCACGACCACUAUUGAAUCAUCUACAAGUGAAAGAAGUUCAACACUGGAAACUACAUCAUCCUCAACAGGAACAUCUCCAUCUUCACAGUCUACUGCAACAGACGGACAAAUUACAUCAGAAUUGAUUUCAUCAACAACAGAAAUGUCUACUUCUAGUGAAGAGCAAACAACAAGCCAGGGGACACAAACCUCUAUGUUUACUUCUACCACAGAAACAGAACCCACAACAAGAGCUCAAUCGACAUUUACAACAGAUAUGUCCCCUACAAGUAUGUCCACAUUAGAAUCAUCUACAAGUGAAAGUGGAUCAACGGUGCAAACUACUCUGUACACAACAGGUACUUCUACAUCUUCACCAUCUACUUCAACAGAAGGACAAAGUACAUCAGAAUUAACUUCAUCCGCAACAGAAAUAUCAUCAUCCACUGUAGAGCAAACAACAAGCCAGCAGGCUCAAACAACUGUGUUUAGUUCGACCACAGAAACAGAACCUACAACGACAGCUCAAUCAACAUUUACAACAGUUAUGUCCCCUAUGACCACGACCACAUUUGAAUCAUUUACAAGUGAAAGAAGUUCAACACUGGAAACUACAUCAUCCUCAACAGGAACGUCUCCAUCUUCACAGUCUACUGCAACAGACGGACAAAGUACAUCAGAAUUGAUUUCAUCAACAACAGAAAUGUCUACUUCUAGUGAAGAGCAAACAGCAAGCCAGGGGACAAAAACCUCUAUGUUUACUUCUACCACAGAAACAGAACCCACAACAAGAGCUCAAUCGACAUUUACAACAGAUAUGUCCCCUACAAGUAUGUCCACAUUAGAAUCAUCUACAAGUGAAUUUGGAUCAACAGUGCAAGCUACUCUGUACACAACAGGUACUUCUACAUCUUCACCAUCUACUUCAACGGAAGGACAAAGUACAUCAGAAUUAACUUCAUCGGCAACAGAAAUAUCUUCAUCCACUGUAGAGCAAACAACAAGCCAGCAGGCUCAAACAACUGUGUUUAGUUCUACCACAGAAACAGAACCUAUAAUGACAGCUCAAUCAACAUUUACAACAGCUAUGUCCCCUAUGACCACGACCACUAUUGAAUCAUCUACAAGUGAAAGAAGUUCAACACUGGAAACUACAUCAUCCUCAACAGGAACAUCUCCAUCUUCACAGUCUACUGCAACAGACGGACAAAUUACAUCAGAAUUGAUUUCAUCAACAACAGAAAUGUCUACUUCUAGUGAAGAGCAAACAACAAGCCAGGGGACACAAACCUCUAUGUUUACUUCUACCACAGAAACAGAACCCACAACAAGAGCUCAAUCGACAUUUACAACAGAUAUGUCCCCUGCAAGUAUGUCCACAUUAGAAUCAUCUACAAGUGAAAGUGGAUCAACAGUGCAAACUACUCUGUACACAACAGGUACUUCUACAUCUUCACCAUCUACUUCAACGGAAGGACAAAGUACAUCAGAAUUAACUUCAUCCGCAACAGAAAUAUCUUCAUCCACUGUAGAGCAAACAACAAGCCAGCAGGCUCAAACAACUGUGUUUAGUUCUACCACAGAAACAGAACCUAUAAUGACAGCUCAAUCAACAUUUACAACAGCUAUGUCCCCUAUGACCACGACCACUAUUGAAUCAUCUACAAGUGAAAGAAGUUCAACACUGGAAACUACAUCAUCCUCAACAGGAACGUCUCCAUCUUCACAGUCUACUGCAACAGACGGACAAAGUACAUCAGAAUUGAUUUCAUCAACAACAGAAAUGUCUACUUCUAGUGAAGAGCAAACAACAAGCCAGGGGACACAAACCUCUAUGUUUACUUCUACCACAGAAACAGAACCCACAACAAGAGCUCAAUCGACAUUUACAACAGAUAUGUCCCCUACAAGUAUGUCCACAUUAGAAUCAUCUACAAGUGAAAGUGGAUCAACGGUGCAAACUACUCUGUACACAACAGGUACUUCUACAUCUUCACCAUCUACUUCAACAGAAGGACAAAGUACAUCAGAAUUAACUUCAUCCGCAACAGAAAUAUCUUCAUCCACUGUAGAGCAAACAACAAGCCAGCAGGCUCAAACAACUGUGUUUAGUUCGACCACAGAAACAGAACCUACAACGACAGCUCAAUCAACAUUUACAACAGCUAUGUCCCCUAUGACCACGACCACAUUUGAAUCAUUUACAAGUGAAAGAAGUUCAACACUGGAAACUACAUCAUCCUCAACAGGAACGUCUCCAUCUUCACAGUCUACUGCAACAGACGGACAAAGUACAUCAGAAUUGAUUUCAUCAACAACAGAAAUGUCUACUUCUAGUGAAGAGCAAACAACAAGCCAGGGGACACAAACCUCUAUGUUUGCUUCUACCACAGAAACAGAACCCACAACAAGAGCUCAAUCGACAUUUACAACAGAUAUGUCCCCUACAGGUAUGUCCACAUUAGAAUCAUCUACAAGUGAAAGUGGAUCAACGGUGCAAACUACUCUGUACACAACAGGUACUUCUACAUCUUCACCAUCUACUUCAACGGAAGGACAAAGUACAUCAGAAUUAACUUCAUCCGCAACAGAAAUAUCAUCAUCCACUGUAGAGCAAACAACAAGCCAGCAGGCUCAAACAACUGUGUUUAGUUCUACCACAGAAACAGAACCUAUAAUGACAGCUCAAUCAACAUUUACAACAGCUAUGUCCCCUAUGACCACGACCACUAUUGAAUCAUCUACAAGUGAAAGAAGUUCAACACUGGAAACUACAUCAUCCUCAACAGGAACAUCUCCAUCUUCACAGUCUACUGCAACAGACGGACAAAGUACAUCAGAAUUGAUUUCAUCAACAACAGAAAUGUCUACUUCUAGUGAAGAGCAAACAACAAGCCAGGGGACACAAACCUCUAUGUUUACUUCUACCACAGAAACAGAACCCACAACAAGAGCUCAAUCGACAUUUACAACAGAUAUGUCCCCUACAAGUAUGUCCACAUUAGAAUCAUCUACAAGUGAAAGUGGAUCAACAGUGCAAACUACUCUGUACACAACAGGUACUUCUACAUCUUCACCAUCUACUUCAACGGAAGGACAAAGUACAUCAGAAUUAACUUCAUCCGCAACAGAAAUAUCUUCAUCCACUGUAGAGCAAACAACAAGCCAGCAGGCUCAAACAACUGUGUUUAGUUCUACCACAGAAACAGAACCUAUAAUGACAGCUCAAUCAACAUUUACAACAGCUAUGUCCCCUAUGACCACGACCACUAUUGAAUCAUCUACAAGUGAAAGAAGUUCAACACUGGAAACUACAUCAUCCUCAACAGGAACAUCUCCAUCUUCACAGUCUACUGCAACAGACGGACAAAGUACAUCAGAAUUGAUUUCAUCAACAACAGAAAUGUCUACUUCUAGUGAAGAGCAAACAACAAGCCAGGGGACACAAACCUCUAUGUUUACUUCUACCACAGAUACAGAACCCACAACAAGAGCUCAAUCGACAUUUACAACAGAUAUGUCCCCUACAAGUAUGUCCACAUUAGAAUCAUCUACAAGUGAAAGUGGAUCAACAGGGCAAACUACUCUGUACACAACAGGUACUUCUACAUCUUCACCAUCUACUUCAACGGAAGGACAAAGUACAUCAGAAUUAACUUCAUCGGCAACAGAAAUAUCUUCAUCCACUGUAGAGCAAACAACAAGCCAGCAGGCUCAAACAACUGUGUUUAGUUCUACCACAGAAACAGAACCUAUAAUGACAGCUCAAUCAACAUUUACAACAGCUAUGUCCCCUAUGACCAUGACCACUAUUGAAUCAUCUACAAGUGAAAGAAGUUCAACACUGGAAACUACAUCAUCCUCAACAGGAACAUCUCCGUCUUCACAGUCUACUGCAACAGACGGACAAAGUACAUCAGAAUUGAUUUCAUCAACAACAGAAAUGUCUACUUCUAGUGAAGAGCAAACAACAAGCCAGGGGACACAAACCUCUAUGUUUACUUCUACCACAGAAACAGAACCCACAACAAGAGCUCAAUCGACAUUUUACAACAGAUAUGUCCCCUACAAGUAUGUCCACAUUAGAAUCAUCUACAAGUGA